Molecule: ribosomal RNA, 402 nt
Filed under: bacterium
Lineage: Bacteria
Description: partial 16S ribosomal RNA
Rfam family: Bacterial small subunit ribosomal RNA
Source: RNAcentral
UGGGGAAUUUUGCACAAUGGGGGAAACCCUGAUGCAGCGACGCCGCGUGAUUUAGAAGGCCUUCGGGUUGUAAAAAUCUUUUCUAUGGGAAGAAAAUGACAGUACCAUAGGAAUAAGGACCGGAUAAUUACGUGCCAGCAGCUGCGGUAAUACGUAAGGUCCGAGCGUUGUCCGGAAUCAUUGGGCGUAAAGGGUACGUAGGCGGGUAAGCAAGUUAGAAGUGAAAUCCUAUAGCUCAACUAUAGUAAGCUUUUAAAACUGCUCAUCUUGAGGUAUGGAAGGGAAAGUGGAAUUCCGAGUGUAGCGGUGAAAUGCGCAGAUAUUAGGAGGAAUACCGGUGGCGAAGGCGACUUUCUGGCCAUAACCUGACGCUGAGGUACGAAAGCGUGGGUAGCAAACAGG